This is a long non-coding RNA of Haliotis rufescens (red abalone), 838 nucleotides long. RefSeq lists it as uncharacterized. The record is from RefSeq and is a predicted model, not a curated record. Lineage: Eukaryota; Metazoa; Mollusca; Gastropoda; Lepetellida; Haliotidae. The transcript has 3 exons.
UUACGGUCUUCUUCCGGUUUUCCUCCAGCUUGUUGACAUAUUUACCACGUGUCUGUGUUUUUGCUAAAAAUGAGACGGUACAGAUAUGGCGAUCCGUCAAAAGUUAGCCGAAUACACUGGAAAAGCGCAUUGUAUUUCCUUGCAGCUUGGAACGUGUUAGGCAUUGUCGUAUAUAAAGUGUACAAGUCGAAAAAGAAAGAUGAAACGCCAGAAUGGGAUAACCUGACAAGUACUCAAAAGUACAUGCAGUUGGUCACUGUUGGAGGAAAUAAGCCUAUAGAAAAGGUACAAAUGUCCGGUCUGACACCUGUGCGGACAGAAGAAUUUAAGAAAGAGUGAUUAUAAAGGUGAUUUGUGUGAUUCAUGUAAUUGUGAUCCUCUGAAGGGUGCCAGAUUAGUCACCAUGGACACUGGAACAUUUAUGUUGUCAUAAACACCAACAGAAUCUGAUAAGAUGUGUUUGUGUGGCCUCAUUCGUGUAUAAAUGUCAACACACAUGAGAAAUCCCAACAGUCAAGAAGAGUAUUCUUUUGAAAGAUGUUAAAUAAGUGUCUAGAGCAAAGUACACCUACUUAUAACAUUUCUCAAAAACUGAGAUCAAAUAUGUUGGUGCCAUAUAUCCACCAGUUUGACUCCAGCAUGCUGACAGUGUUAGAGGAAGACUGGAGACUGACUGAACUGACAUAGCUGUAAAUGAAGUACAAUUGUUUCCUCACUAUGAACUGAUUUUUAUAUUAAUGACUUAUUUAUAUGUCAUUCUGAGGCAGUUUUCUUUAGCGACAUUGUAAGAUUGUUUUGAGUGAAUGUGUUUGUGUAAAUAAAUGAGAGUGUUGCCCUA